UCUUGUGUCUAAGUACGAUAGCAUUCCUAAACCCUGGACAAAGGAACAGGAUACCAGAGGGCAACAGCUGCCACAAGAGCUGUGAUGAAAUAAAGCAACACCUUGAACUGAAAUAAGUUUGCCAUAAACUGAGAAGUUUACCAUGGAUUGGAAUCACACCCUACUCAAGUACAUCUGCACUGUGAUUCCAGUUUUACAGAUGAAGAAACUGAGGCAUGGAUAGGUUAACUGGCCUUCCCAACAGCACACAGGUACCCCAUGGCAAAAUGAGGACUAAAAUCUCAAUCUCUGACUCCCGAUCAGGUGUUUUAGCCACAAAAGAAGGUUCAUUUGAAUUUUAAUUAAAUGUAUUGAGCCUCCUAAAUUUACAACAUUAAAAAGGAAAAAUUACAGGAAUGGA
Molecule: long non-coding RNA, 400 nt
Organism: Gavialis gangeticus (Gharial)
Lineage: Eukaryota; Metazoa; Chordata; Crocodylia; Gavialidae
Exons: 2
Source: RefSeq, a predicted model, not a curated record